Molecule: ribosomal RNA, 466 nt
Filed under: uncultured bacterium
Lineage: Bacteria
Description: partial 16S ribosomal RNA
Rfam family: Bacterial small subunit ribosomal RNA
Source: RNAcentral
CUACGGGUCGCUCCAGUGGGGAAUAUUGGACAAUGGGGGAAACCCUGAUCCAGCAAUGCCGCGUGUGUGAAGAAGUCCUGCUUGUUGUAAAGCACUUUCGGUUGGGAGGACUGCUUCUAGCACUAAUAUUGUUGGAAGUUGACGUUACCUUCAGAAGAAGCACCGGCUAACUCCGUGCCAGCAGCCGCGGUAAUACGGGAGGGUGCAAGCGUUAAUCGGAAUUACUGGGCGUAAAGCGCGCGUAGGCGGCUAGAUCAGUCGGGUGUGAAAGCCCCGGGCUUAACCUGGGAACUGCAUCCGAUACUGUCUAGCUUGAGUACAGGAGAGGAGGGUGGAAUUCCACAUGUAGCGGUGAAAUGCGUAGAUAUGUGGAGGAACACCAAUGGCGAAGGCAGCUCUCUGGCCUGAUACUGACGCUGAGGUGCGAAAGCGUGGGGAGCAAACAGGAUUAGAUACCCUAGUAGUC